GAUGAACGCUGGCGGCGUGCUUAACACAUGCAAGUCGAACGAACGACUAUUAACAGAACCUUUCGGGGCGAAGAUGAUAGAAGUUAGUGGCGGACGGGUGCGUAACGCGUGGGUAAUCUGCCUUUGUCAAAGGAAUAACUAUUCGAAAGAAUAGCUAAAACCGUAUAACAUAUUAAUAGGGCAUCCUAAUAAUAUCAAAACGAUAGUGGACAAAGAUGAGCCCGCGUCUGAUUAGCUAGUUGGUGAGAUAAAAGCCCACCAAGGCAACGAUCAGUAGCCGACCUGAGAGGGUGAACGGCCACAUUGGAACUGAGACACGGUCCAAACUCCUACGGGAGGCAGCAGUGGGGAAUAUUGCACAAUGGGGGGAACCCUGAUGCAGCAACGCCGCGUGAGUGAAGAAAGGCAUUUCGUGUCGUAAAAACUCUGUAGUAGGGGAAGAAG
RNAcentral lists this ribosomal RNA (444 nucleotides) under Filifactor alocis. RNAcentral's name for it is "bacterial SSU rRNA". It matches the Rfam family "Bacterial small subunit ribosomal RNA", at positions 28 to 450 of the family's 1533-position model. Lineage: Bacteria; Bacillati; Bacillota; Clostridia; Peptostreptococcales; Filifactoraceae. The record is from RNAcentral.